AGAACGACUCUCGGCAACGGAUAUCUCGGCUCUCGCAUCGAUGAAGAACGUAGCGAAAUGCGAUACUUGGUGUGAAUUGCAGAAUCCCAUGAACCAUCGAGUCUUUGAACGCAAGUUGCGCCCGAAGCCUUCUGGCCGAGGGCACGUCUGUCUGGGCGUCACGC
Molecule: ribosomal RNA, 164 nt
Filed under: Rheum tanguticum
Lineage: Eukaryota; Viridiplantae; Streptophyta; Magnoliopsida; Caryophyllales; Polygonaceae
Description: 5.8S ribosomal RNA
Rfam family: 5.8S ribosomal RNA
About the family: 5.8S ribosomal RNA (5.8S rRNA) is a component of the large subunit of the eukaryotic ribosome. It is transcribed by RNA polymerase I as part of the 45S precursor that also contains 18S and 28S rRNA.
Source: RNAcentral